GACAAACGCUGGCGGCGUGCUUAACACAUGCAAGUCGAACGAUGAAACGGAAAGGAAGUUUUCGGAUGGAAUUUCUGUGGAUUAGUGGCGGACGGGUGAGUAAUGCAUGAAGAACCUGCCUUUCACAUAGGAAUAGCCUCGGGAAACCGGGAUUAAUACCAAAUGACACUCCGAGAUCGCAUGUUUUUGGGGUGAAAGAUUUUAUCGGUGAAAGAUGGCUUCAUGUCCCAUUAGCUGGUUGGUGAGGUAACGGCUCACCAAGGCGACGAUGGGUAGCCGGCCUGAGAGGGUGAACGGCCACAUUGGAACUGAGACACGGUCCAAACUCCUACGGGAGGCAGCAGUGGGGAAUAUUGCACAAUGGAGGGAACUCUGAUGCAGCGACGCCGCGUGAGCGAUGAAGGUCUUCGGAUCGUAAAGCUCUGUCCUAAGGGACGAUAAUGACGGUACCUUAGGAGGAAGCUCC
This 466-nucleotide ribosomal RNA is filed under the name Peptostreptococcus sp. oral taxon 790. Its description in RNAcentral is "bacterial SSU rRNA". It matches the Rfam family "Bacterial small subunit ribosomal RNA", at positions 28 to 494 of the family's 1533-position model. The record is from RNAcentral. Lineage: Bacteria; Bacillati; Bacillota; Clostridia; Peptostreptococcales; Peptostreptococcaceae.